AGGCGUUGCUGCUAACUGCUGCAUGACGCCGGUGGUAAACGGCGGCGUGAUGAUGGCUGCGAGCACACAGAGGAAGCGGCCGACGAUGUGGCCGAGGAGCUGGAAUUGGGACGUUGGGUGGAGGAGUUCAUCUCCGCGCUCCGGCACCAUCUCAGGAUUGAAUCCUCUCCUCAUUGUCGUCUAGAAGGUGGCUAGGCAGGGGCUCGUGGAUCCGAGGGGAUUUGUGGUUGCUGAUUGUGCGUUCAGAGCUGGUUAAGCUGAGAAGAAGGGAGGGGCAAAACCUGCAGGUGAUGGAAUAUAUCAAGAACAGAACUACUGAUGAGCUUUGAGAUCACAUGGGAAGUUUGAACCAGCGUACUUGUCCGAGACCAGUUCAAGACGUACAUACAAAUACAGAUACCAUCAUUUUCCUUGGGCUGGAGUAACAGGAUUUAUCUCAUCUAAGAUUGAUGGUUCAAAGUCCACACGCAAAUCUCACACAUCCGAGACAUGUUGAAUUCAGAGCUCCAGGCAGAUUCAAAGGCUAUUUUAACAAGUGGGAUUACGUACCUUCACUAAAUCUGAUAAUCCCAACAGAGGCUGUAAACCUGAUGAGAAAUACUCCCUGAUCACACACAAGGUAUUAAAACAGGUUAGAUCUCAAAGCAUGAAACAACAAGUCUCCUAACAAGUGGGGAGACAACCAAAGCACCAUAGAUAAAUUGUCAAUUUACCAUCAAAGUAAAUUCCACGAUUUUGAUUAGAAUGAAGAACCAAAGCAAACUGCACUUUUCAAGGGAUUGAUGCCACAUAACCACAAGCAUUCCUGAACCAGCAUACUAUUUGGUAAUCAUGAAUUCAUGAGGGAAAUAAAAUUAUCGAUGCAACCUUCCUGAAUAGGCAUCAUGUAGCACCACAAAUUUUAACUUACAAUAGAAUUGUCGAUAUAUCUCUUUGUGUACAAAGUUGUGCUUGCUCGUGUGUUGAGGAUACUAACAUUCAUUAUGUACUAA
Long non-coding RNA from Lolium rigidum, 992 nucleotides. RefSeq lists it as uncharacterized. The record is from RefSeq and is a predicted model, not a curated record. The transcript is spliced from 3 exons. NCBI's taxonomy places the organism in Eukaryota, Viridiplantae, Streptophyta, Magnoliopsida, Poales, Poaceae.